UGGGGAAUAUUGGACAAUGGGCGAAAGCCUGAUCGAGCGACGCCGCGUGCAGGAUGAAGGCCCUCGGGUUGUAAACUGCGGUAGUAGGGGAGGAACGCAAGUGACUGUACCCUACGGAAAGUGGUUGGUAACUACGUGCCAGCACCAGCGGUAAUACGUAGACCACAAGCGUUAUCCGGAUUUAUUGGGCGUAAAGAGCAUGUAGGAGGUCCGGUGCGUCUCUGGUUAAAGCCCACCGCCUAACGGUGGAAGUGCCAGAGAUACGAUCGGACUGGAGGAUGUGAGAGGUGCAUGGAACUCACGGUGUAGGGGUGAAAUCCGUUGAUAUCGUGGGGAACACCAAAGGCGAAGGCAGUGCACUGGUACAUUCCUGACUCUGAGAUGCGAAAGCGUGGGGAGCAAAAAGGAUUAGAUACCCUAGUAGUCCCUGAGCGGGCUGGCAAGGCGCAU
RNAcentral lists this ribosomal RNA (450 nucleotides) under uncultured bacterium. Its description in RNAcentral is "bacterial SSU rRNA". It matches the Rfam family "Bacterial small subunit ribosomal RNA", at positions 355 to 825 of the family's 1533-position model. The record is from RNAcentral.